Molecule: ribosomal RNA, 253 nt
Filed under: uncultured bacterium
Lineage: Bacteria
Description: partial 16S ribosomal RNA
Rfam family: Bacterial small subunit ribosomal RNA
Source: RNAcentral
UACAGAGGGUGCAAGCGUUGUCCGGAAUUAUUGGGCGUAAAGGGCUCGUAGGCGGUCCAUCGCGUCGGGAGUGAAAAGCUGGGGCUCAACCCCAGUCCUGCUUCCGAUACGGGUGGACUAGAGGUAGGCAGGGGAGAACGGAAUUCCUGGUGUAGCGGUGAAAUGCGCAGAUAUCCGGAAGAACACCAGUGGCGAAGGCGGCCCGCUGGGCAGUGGCUGACGCUGAGGCGCGACAGCGUGGGGAGCAAACAGG